UUAUUUUGUACCAUUUUAUUAUGUUAUGUGUAUAAUUUUAAGUGUAAAUUGUUCCCCAAUAAAUUGCAUACCCUUUUCCCUUAAUUACGAACAAUAUGUAAUAGACUAAGCUUAUUGGUUGAAUAAAACAAUUUCUCACUCUGCACGUAACACCCACGCCUUGAGUAGGCGUGGCCUAGAGUACCUACGGUGGGGAUCGCGCCGAGCGCGCCUAUAUAUACGCGCCCACCCUGGAUGCUCACUCACUCACUCAUCAAUAGCCACAGAGGCACCAGCCUCCCAACACUCUCCAAAGUUUUCUUAUAAUCAACAAAUGUGUUUUCAUUAAACACCCUACACAUCCCCGGUAAUGGUGCGGUAAUCUGGAGGUAACCUGCAGCCUGCAAGCCAGCCAGCGUGUUCCAGUCGCCGUGUACGGGUUCCUGACUUCGGAAUCUGCGAGCCCCACAGUAACUACGCUCAACAAGUACACAUCCGUUUCUGUUCCGGUUCCGUUAUGUUUGAAACGGAAGUUAUAACGGAUGUCAAUGCUUCGCGCGGCGGCGGCGUACAUCAAAAACAAACAGGUUCAUACCAGUCAUUCGCUCAUCGCCCCGCUUGCCACGUGCUACGCUAAUUUGUUGUUUAAUUGUUUGUAUACUUUGUUUUAUUCGUGUUAUUAAAAUUAAAAUUGUAUGUGU
Molecule: long non-coding RNA, 680 nt
Organism: Cydia splendana
Lineage: Eukaryota; Metazoa; Arthropoda; Insecta; Lepidoptera; Tortricidae
Exons: 2
Source: RefSeq, a predicted model, not a curated record